CGUCUAUAUACGUAUAGCAUAUCAAUAAGCGGAGGAAAAGAAACUAACAAGGAUUCCCUUAGUAACGGCGAGUGAAGCGGGAAGAGCUCAAAUUUGAAAUCUUCAAGGUUUUACCUUGACGAAUUGUAGUUUAAAGAAGUGUUUUCUGUUAGAGUUGAGUAGCAAAAGUUCUUUGGAAUAGGGACAUCAUAGAGGGUGAGAAUCCCGUAUUUGGUUAUUCUUUCUAGCUUUGUGAUACACUUUCAAAGAGUCGGAUUGUUUGGGAAUGCAGUCCAAAAUGGGUGGUAAAUUUCAUCUAAAGCUAAAUAUUGGCGAGAGACCGAUAGCGAACAAAGUACCGUGAGGGAAAGAUGAAAAGAACUUUGAAAAGAGAGUUAAACAGUACGUGAAAUUGUCAAAAGGGAAGCGUUUGACACCAGUGUUGUUUUUCCGAAAAUCAAUUAAGAACGGACUUGAUUUUGUGUUGUAUUGACCCUUAUCAGCUUUCUUCACUCUUUUUCGAGUCUUUCUUAAUGCACUUUUCGGUUAACAAGUCAACAUCAAUUUCUUUUGUUGUAAAAGGGUAUUUGGAAGGUGGCUUUCUUUUCGGAGAAAGUGUUUAUAGCCUUAUGACCUCUAGCAAUCGGAGAGAUUGAAGUCUGCAGCGUAGAUCCUUCGGGGCUAGAUACACUUGUGCUAAGUUAUAGCUUUUCAUAGACAACUUGUUGACUAUGUUUAGUCAUGUAGCUUACCCGCUUGUGCUAUUUUACCUACGCUUAGGAUGUUGAGUCAUCACACAUCUCU
Molecule: ribosomal RNA, 783 nt
Filed under: uncultured Neocallimastigales
Lineage: Eukaryota; Fungi; Neocallimastigomycota; Neocallimastigomycetes; Neocallimastigales
Description: partial large subunit ribosomal RNA
Rfam family: Eukaryotic large subunit ribosomal RNA
Source: RNAcentral